Molecule: ribosomal RNA, 515 nt
Filed under: uncultured Propionibacterium sp.
Lineage: Bacteria; Bacillati; Actinomycetota; Actinomycetes; Propionibacteriales; Propionibacteriaceae
Description: bacterial SSU rRNA
Rfam family: Bacterial small subunit ribosomal RNA
Source: RNAcentral
CGGUUGCCUUCGGUACGACGUCGUCGAGAGAGUUUCGUAGUCCUGCGUCAGGACGAACGCUGGCGGCGUGCUUAACACAUGCAAGUCGUACGGUAAGGCCCUUCGGGGGUACACGAGUGGCGAACGGGUGAGUAACACGUGAGUAACCUGCCCACAACUUUGGGAUAACGCUAGGAAACUGGUGCUAAUACUGGAUAUGUGCUCCUGCUGCAUGGUGGGGGUUGGAAAGCUCCGGCGGUUGUGGAUGGACUCGCGGCCUAUCAGCUUGUUGGUGGGGUAGUGGCCUACCAAGGCGGCGACGGGUAGCCGGCCUGAGAGGGUGACCGGCCACAUUGGGACUGAGAUACGGCCCAGACUCCUACGGGAGGCAGCAGUGGGGAAUAUUGCACAAUGGGCGCAAGCCUGAUGCAGCAACGCCGCGUGCGGGAUGACGGCCUUCGGGUUGUAAACCGCUUUCAGCAGGGACGAAGCUUUUUGUGACGGUACCUGCAGAAGAAGCACCGGCUAGCUACGUG